This 1256-nucleotide long non-coding RNA is filed under the name Sus scrofa (pig). RNAcentral describes it as "lncRNA (ENSSSCG00065026392.1)". Lineage: Eukaryota; Metazoa; Chordata; Mammalia; Artiodactyla; Suidae. The record is from RNAcentral.
AUGUGGUGAUGUGGCGCUCUCCUGGGCUUGGGCCUAAGCCACGCCAGAUGAGGGACAGCCUCUCACGGUGAGCUAGGCCGCACCUCUCAUUCUGUCCGCGGGCCCCUCGCUGCUCCUCCCCCACCUGCGGGUGUUGUGGGGGAAGAUAGGGGUGCGGCCUCUGGCCUGACCUCUGGUCUCCCGCCCUGCUGCCUUCUGGUGUCAGUCGGGGGGGGGNUUUGGGACGCAGCAGGCAUUCUCGCUUUGCCGCCUUGGCGUGUGCCUUGCGUGGGCGGUCCCUCCCCGAAGUGGGGGAGGCCUCCCUCGCUGCCAUGCUUUGCAUCUCUGCGGGUGCAUGAGUGUGCCUCCCCUGGUCCUCUGUGGUGCCCCUGGAGUACUCCGGGUUGCCUGUCAGAUGCCCGAGGCCGAGCGGUGGUGUCGUUUUCCUCUCCCAGCGGUGAGUCCCCUCGGGUCCCCACUGUGGUGGUGGCGUGCCCCACGAGCAGCUUCCUAAAGCUCAGGGGAGGGGGUCGAGACGGUAAGGCAGGGGAAGCUUGUGUCCCCUCCCCGGGAGGGGCUCAGGUGGACCCCGUGUCAUGGGUCUCCCUCACUGUGUGCCAGUGAGGGCAGCCCUUGGCCCUUGAGCGGCACACCCCAUGCUUCUCCCUUAACCGGGAAGGCUGCAUGUGGUCGUGAGAGCGACAGAGCGACCGCGGUGGGCCGGGAGAUGUGAAGUGGGGGUCCCCGUCUGGCUUUUUGGAGAUGGCACCCCUCCACCCACGUGGAAAAGUCUGAAAGGCAAGCCUGGUGGCAGCACAGACUCUUGCCCUCCCGGCUCUGACCUUGGACGCUCAUGGGCUGUGUGCUUUACCCAUACCGCAGACCCCCCCCUUCUGGCUUCCCACUUUUUGGGAGUGUGUUCCCACUCCUGUGGGUCCCCGAAGGGGCGAGCGAUGGUGUGUGGGGCACGACGCGCCCUCGGUGAGAAAGUCUUCUCUAGCGCUCUCAGAGGGGGGCCUUGGGGUACCUGGACUUCAGCUACUCCUCUGAAGUCUGCAGGCAGUAGCUGCCUACUUGCCACAGUGUGUGGGCAAGAGCCGCCUUUGUGCGAGGUGUGCGCUGGCCCCCCCAUGGUGGGGGCCAAGCGCUGCUCUUUUGCCUAAUGCGGCCUGUGCCUCCCCCCUCCGAGUUGGGGGAGGGUCACGCCGGCCGGGCCGGGUUUGGCGUCCAGCGCCAGGCUGUGUGCUGCGUCUCAAGUGGUGCCCCUCCCCUUGGAA